CAAGAAGAUAACUACGUUGGAUGGUGGUGUGAAAAUCUCUGAGCUUGUGAAUUAUCCUGUCAGAGGUCUCUUCUUUGAGGGUGGAAAUGCCCUGCAAGAUUUAUCCAACACUGUCUCAGAUGCCUGCAUUUGCCUUCAAGAAAACAACAUACCUUACAAUGUGCUCAUUGCUGAUUGUGGAAACCACAUCUUUCUCCUUCCACAGGUAAUGAACAUGGGAGCAACAUAGAGUUGACUUCUUUGCUUGUUGAUAUUUUAACUGCAUAGAUUACACUUGUCUUCAAUUCUUUAAUAUUGUCUAAUGGAUGAACAGUGUUAUGCUGAGAAGCAAGCUCUAGGGGAAGUGAGUUCUGAGCUUCUUGAUACCCAAGUGAACCCUGCUGUGUGGGAAAUCAGCGGCCAUAUGGUGUUGAAGAGGAAGAAAGACUAUGAGGAGGCAUCGGAAGAGAAUGCUUGGAGGCUUCUUGCUGAGGUGUCUCUCUCCGAAGAGAGAUUCCAAGAAGUGAAUGCUCUCAUCUUUAAAGCUAUUUCCAACAGUGGUAAUUGCAGUGGAACUGAUUCUGAGAACGUGCUUGAGGAUGCAAAUGUUGAACAUACGUCUCUUGAAGAAGUGAAUGCCAUUAAUGAAAACUCCCAUUCAGCCAUGGUUACUGGGAGUCCAGGAUGUCUAGUUCUGCAGUGAGUAUUGUGCUUAGGUGAGCAGACCAGUGACAUAUCUGGCUCUCAAAUAAGCUUAUGGCAGUUUUGGCAUACAAGUGGUCUUCACUAGUGUGUUUGUGGAUUAUGGCAUUAGUCUAAAUAAGCAAACUAGGUUUGCAUUUUUAAACUUGGUGUGGAUUGUUGUCUUUAGCAUUUCUGGUUUUGUAUUCAGCCUAUUGACCAUGUAAUGUGGUCUUUGUAUGUACUGCAUGGGAUUUGUGUAAAAUAUUAUGGAAUGUUUACUCUUUGGAACUCGUAUCUUUUCAUGACAAUUUUCUUCUGGGCACUGAAUCCAAAUGAGACGUUAAUAUGAACAUGUAGAAAAAUUGGGUAAAUGAUUUAUGAAUUAUACAUAUUUUUAUGGAUUUUGUACCUAAUUUAUUGUUCCUUGAAUGAUUUUAUCAUUAUGUCCAGUAUCGUUAGUUUGUCUGUCAUGUGAUUGACAUUCAUUUGCUGAACCAUAAAGAAAAUAAUGAAAGGUGUUUUUCGCUUACCUCUCUAAGAUUUUGAAUUAAAAAAAAAAUAUAGAAUCAAAUAACUCACCACUUAAAAAUCCGGAUUGAAUAACCAUUUUAGAGAUAUAAAGUUAAAGAAAAUAAUACUGACAAAGUCAAGGAAAUGAUGCUGAAUUUGAUACAUGUCAAUUUGCCUAGGUUAAAAUAAUUAGAAUUAAAUUCAUUUUUUUUUUAAACUUACAAUAUAUGAUCUGAAUCAUAAUUAUAUAUUUGAAAUGUAUUUUCAAAUCUAGAAAAUAUCAAAAUAAAAUAAAUAAAACUUAAUAAUAGUCUGAAUCAUAAUUAUAUAUUUGAAACAUCAUUUCAAGUCUUAAAAAAUAUUAAAAUAAUAUAAAUAAAACCUAAUAAUUGAAUUUAACAUAAUUAUAGACAAUAAAUAAUAAUAACUCGUUUUUAACUUUAGAAAGUGUAGACAAACACUUAGAUAGCACUAAAAUUAAAAUUGACAUAACUCUUUGUAGAAAAUUCCAAUAGAUGCAUGACUAGCCGACUAACUUGUAAAGAUAACAUUCUGCACUUGAAAACCAUGUAGGAUCCACUUAUUUUCCUAGGCAAUAAAAAGAUAAAAAAAAAUAAGCUCAAAAUUGACAAUGUACUAAUAACAAACAACCUAAAAAACAUCAUCUAUUUAUAAUGUUAACUCAUUCAAGUAACCCAACUCUAUUUGGACCAAUAAUGAACACUCCAGGGGAUAGGAUUUUAUUUCUUGUUUUUAGGGCUUUUUGGAAUAUAUAUAUAUAAACAAGAAAUAAAAUGCGUUCUCUCUCUCCUAUCCCUUGAAGUAAAGGAGUUUUUGUAAGGGAGAUCAUAUUUUAUUUUUUCAAGGUUUUUUUUAUAUACAUAUAUUGUUAUAAAAUCUAUAAUUACAUAUAUUGAAUGCACAAUAAAAUCUUUUAAACUUUGUAACUUUUAGGUUUAGUCUCUUGGUUUUUUAUGACACUUGGGUCUUUUAGUGUCUUCUAAUGUUCUCAUUUUCUUCUCCUAUAAAUAGACUAGUCUUGUAUUCUAAGGAUUGAAAAAUAUAUAAGAAAAUGUAUCAAUUUUUCUUUUAAGUUCUAUUUUGAAUAUGUAUAUUAUUACUUGUUCUUUAUUUUUUUAACACAUUAUCAGUAUAAUCACUCUAAUUAAUUUCUAUUGAAAUGUUGACACACAUGAACUCCUAUAUUACAUGGCUUGUAUCAAUUUCAAUAUUUUCUUUUCAUUAUGUUUCAUACUUUAUAGAAUAUAUUUGGUUCUCCAACUUAUUUUUGACAAGUUUUCUUUCCUUUUUAUUCAUCAAGAACUAAAGUUUCUGAAGAACUAGUAUUGUAAGUUUCUAAAUAAAUAAAUUAAAUGCAGUUCUUGAAAAACUAGUAUUUCUAAAGAACUAAAUAAAUGACAGUUUUAAAAGACUGAUUUUUUCUUUUAUAUUCAUGAUUUUAUUUAAUAAGUUGUUUCUUUUUUUAUAUAAAUAAUAUUGAAUAUAACAAAACAUGAAUUUACUACUCUUGAUAUAUCUGAGAAUAAUUAUUUGUCAUGUAUCAUUGAUGCUAAGAUUCAUCGAGAAGCUAUAAAUCUUGGAGAGACCAUCAAAGAAGAAAAUAAUGCAUCCUUGCAUGAUCGUGCAAAAGCAAUGAUUUUUAUUUGCCACCAUCUAAGUGAAGGAUUAAAAGUUGAAUAUCUCAACAAUAAAAGAUCCUCUUGUUUUGUGGAAAAAUCUAAAAGAAAGAAAUGACCACUAAAAGUGUAUCAUACUUCCUCAAAUUCGUUAUGAUUGGUUGCACUUGAAGUUGCAAGAUUUUAAAUCCGUUAGUAAAUAUAAUUUUGCUCUUUUUAAAAUUACCUCAAAGAAGAAAUUGUAUGGUGAAAAUAUCACAAAAGACCAAAUGUUAGAGCCUGCAACAACAAUAUAGAGAAUGUAAUUCCAAGAGAUACUUAGAACUAGUUUCAUGUCUUCUUAUAACUUAACAAAAUAAUGAGCUUUUGAUGAAAAAUAAUCAAUCUCGUGCCACGUGUUCUAAACCAUUCCCUGAACUGAAUGAAACCUUUGUCCAAAACACAAGAAAGAACUAAGGGUACUGUGAACACCCGAUUGAAAUUUUCUAGGAUUAUAAAUUUAAUAAAAAGAAAUUAGGGAAAUGAAUGAAGAUAGAAAUAUAUUUUUUAUGAGAAAAUAAAUAAAUAAAAUAAAAUGGUAGAAGGGUAAAAUUGAAUAAUAUUAAGUUAAAGGUUAUGGGAUUAAAUCAAUUAAGGUGUUAAAAGAGUGAGAUCUAAAUAGAGAAUUAAAUGAACUUUGGGCCAUUAUGUAAAUAAAGGAACUUCAUGAUAUAGUACAUGAAUGGGAAGCCAUUCAUGGCCUGCUAUUGAGAGGGUGAGAAGAGAGGAAACAAUUGGGGAGAUUUCUUGUAUUUUCCACUUAGAUUUCAUCUAAUUAAGCAUUAAAUACUAGAGAGUAAGGGAUUAUAGGAAGUUUAGAGGAUAUUUGGACAAAGAAUCAAGAAAACAAUCCUUGGGAUUUUGCUAGCAGGUUUUUGAAGAAAUAAGGAGAAAGAAAAGAAAAUUUUAUUCUAGGACCUUUUACCUUCACUUUUCUUGUGGGUAAGUGGUAAAGUGCCUAAGUUUAUGAAUCUUUAUGCAUUUCUAAAUUUAUAUUUAUGAAUUAUGCAUUAAAGAAUGUUAUGUAGAAUUAUGUAAUUCAUAAAUUGAUGCUCAUAUGAUAGACUAAUGUUGAUAUGUAUGCGAAAUUAUAUGGGUGAUGAAUGAUUAAUAGAAAUUAUUGAAAGAAUAUAAUAAAUUCUAACUAGAAAUAUUUAUGUGGGGUUAUGAUAUUUAUAUGACUAUGAUAUGCACAAUUAUGAAAGUAAGCAUGUUGGUUUGAAUAGGAAAUAAUGAAACAAAAAAACUUGAAUGAAUGCCUUAAAUUGGUUAGGUCCCAUUACGAUCACUAUUUAGUUUUAUAGUUGGAAAAAAAAUUAUUCAAGUUAUUGAGAAAAUUGUGAAUAAAUAUAUCAACUAGAUGAUUUAAAUGUGUAAAGGUGAGGAAUUGAUGGAAAAAUAGAUCAUUCUAUUAAGAAUUUGCUUUCUUUGACAGAAAGAUAUAAAAAUAAAUCAAUGAAUUUAAAUGGUUAAGCUAGGUAGAAAUAAGCCAAAUGAAUUCAAAACAAAAAAGGAUUUUUUAAUAGUGAGAAGAGAAUAUUAAUUAUCUAACGUGGAAUGAAGUCUUAUUUUCAUGAGACAAUGGAAAGGGAAAGAAUUAUAUUAGUUAAGAAAAGAAAUAAUGAUUAAGGGCUUUUAAAUAGAGAAUAUAUUGAUGAGAUAAUUCAAUUAAAAAUAAAUAAAUAAAUAAGAAAGAAUCUACCAAAAGGAGAGAUUUCAUGAAUCUAUAAGAAUAAAUUUGAUUUAACUUCACAGGAGAAGUUACUGGCGGGUUAGAGACCGUGCGAAUGGUAGUACGUUAGACAACUAUAGGUAGGUGAAAAUAUUCACCACAAAAAUUGAAUUAAUCAAAUUUUUAGGGAGUUAGUAUUGAGGUUAUUAUAAUAUUUACUUUUAAUUGUUAAUCGUAAUUAUUAUGUGAGAAAACAAAUUAUACAGUUUAAUAAAUAAAAUGAUAUAUGUAAUUGAAAAAGAAUAUUGAAUUGUUUGGGCUCCCAAAAUGGGAAUGCUUGAUUUAAUGAAUAUCCACGUCAAGAUGUUGAAUUUUUUAUGGUAUUUAGAAGAGAAUACCAGAUUAGAUUGACUUUUAAAAUGAGGAAUGCUAGAUUGAAAAAAUAUCAUAGAGAUGAUAUGGUAUUCAUCAAUGAAUACUGGAUUUGAUUGGCUUCCACGAUAGGGAAUGUCAGACUGAAAAGUAUAAUAGAGAGGAUAUUGAUAUUUUUAUGGUAUUCAGAAAAAAAUACUAUAUUGGAUUGACUUUUAAAAUAAAAAAUGUCAGAUUGAAAACAAAUAUCAUAAAGAGGAUACUGAUAUUUUUAUGGUAUUCAGAUAAGAAUAUUAGACUGAAUUGACUUUCAAAAUGGAGAAUCUCAUAUUUAAGAGUAUCGACCAUGAGGGUACUAGAAUUCAUGUGGUAUUUAAAAAUAGAAAUAUAAUUGAUUGAUUCCUACAAUGAAAGUGCCAAAUUAAUGAGUAUCUAUAAGUGAAAAUUAUAAAUUAUUAAUAGUGAAGGAAACACCGAACUUGUAGAAUUUUAUUCAGAAAAUUAUGUUUGAUAAAUACGUGGUUGAUUUGUUAUGUUAAGAAAUAGAAUAUUCGAAAAGAAUUUUUAACGAUUCAGCAAUGAGAUGGAAUUGUUGGAGUAAAAAUGUAUCAUUGAAUAUAUUGUUAAAUAAUUUGGUUAGAAUUUCAAGUUUGAUUAUUUUUUCUAAAAUAUAAAGAUCAUUAAUAAUAUUAAUAAUAAAUCAAUUAUUGUGCUGAUUAUUAUAUGCAUGGUAAAUUUUCAAGUUCAUCUUAGUCUCGUCAGGGUUAACAUUUUACUGCACUCAAAUCUCUUUUGCAUAUAUUUUGUUAUAAAUAGUAUUAUUUAAUAAUGUUGAAAUGAGAAGAAUUAUGUAAUUAAUCCAGUUUAAGUAUAAGAUGAAUUGGAUGUAAAUGGUGUGUGAUAAUUAAUUAGGAUGAAUGGAAUAUAAGUUGGUUAUGUUUUAGCUUAAAUAUAUUAUGAAAUUUAAUGUUAAAUGAGACGUUUUCAUGAA
This 5884-nucleotide long non-coding RNA is filed under the name Populus trichocarpa (black cottonwood). RNAcentral describes it as "long non-coding RNA (PTRI_LNC002742)". Lineage: Eukaryota; Viridiplantae; Streptophyta; Magnoliopsida; Malpighiales; Salicaceae. The record is from RNAcentral.